This 253-nucleotide ribosomal RNA is filed under the name uncultured bacterium. RNAcentral describes it as "partial 16S ribosomal RNA". It matches the Rfam family "Bacterial small subunit ribosomal RNA", at positions 524 to 776 of the family's 1533-position model. The record is from RNAcentral.
UACGUAGGGUGCGAGCGUUGUCCGGAUUUAUUGGGCGUAAAGAGCUCGUAGGCGGCUCGUCGCGUCGACCGUGAAAACCCACAGCUUAACUGUGGGCUUGCGGUUGAUACGGGCGGGCUAGAGUUCGGUAGGGGAGACUGGAAUUCCUGGUGUAGCGGUGAAAUGCGUAGAUAUCAAGAGGAACACCUGAGGUGAAGACGGGUUGCUGGGCUGACACUGACGCUGAGGCGCGAAAGCUAGGGUAGCAAACGGG